Long non-coding RNA from Mirounga angustirostris (Northern elephant seal), 4548 nucleotides. RefSeq lists it as uncharacterized. Lineage: Eukaryota; Metazoa; Chordata; Mammalia; Carnivora; Phocidae. The transcript is spliced from 6 exons. The record is from RefSeq and is a predicted model, not a curated record.
GAGGGCUUCUUGUUUCUUCUGCAGAGGUGAGUCCUGGUGGAGUUCUGCAGGGCCCUGCUGGCUGAGGGCUGGGGGUGGCGGAGACCUUCUGGGAGCCACCAAGGGAGGCAAAGCCACCGGCAGGAGUGGGGAUGGUUCCAGAAAAUGAGACCAUGGCCCUGGACCAGGGCGCGGAGUGAGGCUGCUUGAGGAGGCUGCUUGCGGUUUUCCGCAAGGUGAGCAUCCUCAGGAGACCAUGGACGUAAGCACACCACUUAAGAGCAGGGGCCUCCGGUGCACGCCCUCGCUCCGCCCCCUGCUGGCUGUGUUAUCUUGUGUCAACCGCUUACCGUCUCCCAACCUCAGUUUUUUCAUCUGCAGAGUGGGAGGAAUAAUGUCGUCCUCCCAGUGUCGUGAGGACUAACGGAGGGGAAGUGUGUGAAGAGUGUCGUCUAGCCGCCAGCCGUGAAUCCUUAGGCUGAGAGGCCUAACAGAUCAUCUAGUCCAGAAACCCGUGUCAUGUCCUGCGUGGUCUCCACCUACUGAUACUGACCACUUGGAAAACUGUGCUGAGAAGGAUUCUGAGGCCACGUCAGGCUCUGUGGGAGAGUACUGCGAUCAGCUUGUAAUGUCUGCCAUGGGCACAGGAGUGGGAGCGGAAGUACGUGUGCCAGGCAGUUGCCAUCUCUGAUCUAGCCUGAACUGCCAUCCCCACCGGGAAUUCCUUCCGUGUCAGCUCCGGCAGAUCACCCCGCCUUGGUCCCAGAACAGCACCCCGAGGAAGGCCCUUUGUGUGUUUAAAGGAAAGAAAAAUGUGCCCCCAGGCCUUCUCUGCACCAGCCUCCAGGUCCCGUUAACUCUCAUCCAUAAGACAAGGUCACAGAGGAGAGCUCAAACUCUAAGACACUUUGGGGGACCACCUGCUCCAUCCCAUCUGUGCUAAAUAGAGGGAAAGAGAGGCCCAAGAGGUCAAGGGCUUGGCACCUUUGGGCUCCCUGACCCCCGUCAGAAGAAGCCUGUCCUCCAGGCUAGAGGAGCUGAGAUCCGAGUCACUGUCACUGUCACUGGAAACCACUGGAAAGAAAAGACACCAGCACCGGAGGUUACCCCUACCAGUCACUACCAGCAGGCAUGUGGGAUAGAGGGGCUGGGGCAGGCCUCCCCUCUGCCGGAACAAAGCGGCUGAUUACCCCCUUGGGUGCAGGACAACUGUUCUGAGGCUGGCACCUGGCAAUGCUCAGGGUGCGAGGCAAUGCCGUUUUACCUUGGAACAAGGCACAUCACAGGUACAAAAUUUCCGGUCCUCGCCAACCCUUAUAAAGCACUCCAGGCACUUGACAUGUGCUAGCUCGCUGAAGCUUCAGAACAACCCUGGCAGACAGGGUUGCGCUCAUUUUACAGUUGUCCUGCCCACACCUGAUUCAAUAGCUUUUUUAAGCAAGUGGCUUCUCUCAAGACUUUCGGAAGUGCUGGUUUUAAUGAAAACAACUCUGUCCUUCCUGGCUCUUUUCAUCAGUUUACGUAACAUUUAAUUAAGUGAUGUCACUCUAAUACCAAGUACGACAGCACAGGACGGUCUGGGAUCACGGGUAAGCAGCUCUCAAAGGGGACUGAUUCGGUGGAUGGGGUGUGCAUCCGUGUGCCUUGCCGGGGAGUGCAAAGUGCCGGGUCCUGAGGGAGGGGAGGAGCUGUUGGGCACUCUGCCCGGCACGGGGCCAGCCGCCCAGACAGCACUACUACCCAUCAGCCCCGUGCCCCAGGGACCCGUGGGGGUGGCAGACGAGAUCGGAAAUCCAAUCAAUCUAUGCCAAGGGUGGCUAAGCUAAGAGGCUUCAAGUGAUGGGCCAGGCCCCUCGUGGAGCAGUGUGCAGAGGAGGAUCCGGAGCCAGCGUCGGAGCUCUGCAGGAAGGAGAGUCUGGUCAGACCCCAAAUGCCCACAGCCACACAAAGGGGGAACAGUUCCAGAUGACAACUGAGCUCACAAAGGUGUCACAGGGCAGAGAACCAGCCAACCGACAAGACUCAUCCCCUUGGCCUGUGCCUCCCUCCCUUGCCCGAGCAUCCCUGCUCAUUGUGUCUGUGACUCUGAGCUGGGGCCAGGCCUCAGCUUAGAGGUCUUUGUAGUGCAAACCCAAUCCCAUUCUAAUCCACUGUAAUAAGCUCUACUUGAAAGAAAGAAGCCGGCAGUGUCCAUGCCUGGCCUUGGCAUUUACUGUCAGUGGGGAAGAAACACACCAAGAAGACCCUGCUGAGAAUGUCCCUGGGCAGGACCCAGGGCAAACACCAUUUUCUCCGGCAGCAAUGGAAGAAGUUUUUCUUCUUCCUCCCCCUCCGACUGUCACCAUAAAACCCACAUCUUGGCUAAUUUGCCAUUCGAUUGCCAAUUGCCACCUUUCUUGUCGCCCAGCAGCUGUGAUCGUGAAUCUUCCAGGUCUAUUAAAGAAGCUUUGAGGCUCAUCAAUCUUUUGGCCCUUGCUCUUCCAUCCUCAACAAAACACUGUGUGUAUCUGAAGGCUGAUUUCUCCCUUCUAAUUCCCCCCAAGACAGUCUAGGAUGGCUUAGUGAUGAGUGCUUGUAUUCAGCCCACGCCUGAUUUUGCAGAUCGAAGAUGGGAAAACACUGGGGAGAAGACUGUCCCACUCAUCUUCCCAAGGAGGAGGAGUCACCAAAUGGACUCACCUGGGCUCUGCCAGGAGGGAGGAGGGGGCGCCUCCCCCACCCCAGCGGCCUGAGACCCGGGACCCCUUGCUUGGGGAGCUGGCAUCCCUGAGACUUUCCCAUCAUGCCCCAGAAGGGCUGCCCCACUCUGCUCAGCUCUCCUCCUCAGCAGCGGCUAGCCCCAGCGCCAGCCAUGCCCACUUCUCUGGGGAGAGGCCAGCUUUUCUUUUUUUUUUUCCCUGGCUCACUCUUAGAUGGGUUUGCAAUUUGACUGUCACCAUGGAAACUCAAGAGUUUUGGUACAUGAAGGUGGGGGGAAGUCUUCCCUUUUGGAAAGUCUCUCCUGACUGCCUCAAAGGACACAUGUAGCAGCUGCCGUCCUGUGAAGACACCUUGCCUGGGAUGGUCCAGGUGACAGGCAGGAUGCUGGCCACUUGACCUCACAGCACUGCAUUGGGAUUCGGGGGGACCUAGCUCCCGGCUCUUCUCUGCCACCACCUGUCUUUGUGACCCUGGGCAUCUCUCAGGGCUUUAUCACACACAGAGAGACCAAUCUGGACAGCUACUCGGCCUGAACCCUAGGAUUCAACCUCAGGUUGGCUCUGUUUCAUCAGCGGAGAGUGCCCGGGGUCCCUCUCUGGCUGAGAGGUGGGGAGAUGUGACUUCUGGGCCACAACAUCUGCCUGCUGGCGCAAGGACAGCCCGUGAGCCUGGGAGGCUUCCAAAGCCCCCAGAAACGAUGGGAAUUAGAGAGGAAGAGAGAUAUUUUCAGCAAACAUUCUGCCAAGGCAAGGCAGAUGGUGGAAAAUUUUGCAUACUAAAACCAAAAUAAAUUUUUUUUUAAUGUAAAGGGAAGAUGAUAAAGCCCCAGGGAAUGCAUAGACAUCCCCAAUUAGCCUUACCCUGCCUACCAGGCUGCAGAGGGCAGUGGCAGAAUUGUCCCCACUGGGACAGGUGAGGGCUGUCUCACCUGCAGAGAGGGCCAGGCCUGCAGCCUGAAAUCCCACUGAGACGCCUCCCAAGUCUGAGGCUCUGUUUGAUGGUUGCAGGGGGGAGGUAUGGGGUGGUGAAGGGGCACUGGCUCUGCUGGAUCCUUUUCUGGGUUGUUGUGAGCAUCCUCGAGGAAACUCAGGUGGUGUCUGGCACAUGGGAGGAGCUUUUUGCUUGAGGGGCUCCUCCUGAACUCAUGGCCCACACCACGAGGUGCAGGGCUGGCUUCUGGGGUCACAGCAUUUGAUGCCAGGGCCAACCUCACAGGGGCGGGCUUGCCUUCUCUGGGGGGCGUGGAUUCCUAGGUUGUGCUGGAGGCACGAGAUGGCUUCAGGGGCCAUUUGCAGCCUGAGCUGGGAUUUGAGCUGAGGUCUAGCUCCUGCUGAGACCUCUGCUCUUUCCUCCCCUCCCAGCAGGCAGGGCACCCGGCAGUCUGGCCUCGUCCUCCCCUCUGAGCUCUGCUCCCUCGGAGUCUUCCCCUCCAGGCGGGCCAGUUCCUCCUCAGUAUCCCCAACACACCCUUUCUGGGUUUUUCUCCAGGCCUUUCCCGCCAGAGGCAGGUGCUGCAACGUGAGAGACUUCUAGCUCCCUCCCCACAUCCGGGGUCUGGCCCUGGCUCUGCCUUGGACACUCCUGGGCAGAGACCUUCAUCUCCCCGAGCCUCAAUCUGCUCAUAUGUGAAACACAAACAGGAGCAACCCCAAGGCAAUAAGAUCAAGUAGUACAAAAGGCACUGCAAGUUCAAAAUGCUAUGCAGAGGGGCGCCUGGGUGGCUCAGUCGUUAAGCGUCUACCUUCAGCUCAGGUCAUGAUCCCAGGGUCCUGGGAUGGAGCCCCGCAUUGGGCUGCCUGCUCCGCGGGAAGCCUGCUUCUCCCUCUCCCACUCCCCCUGCUUGUGUUCCCUCUCUCGCUGUGUCUCUGU